RNAcentral lists this ribosomal RNA (465 nucleotides) under uncultured Klebsiella sp. RNAcentral describes it as "bacterial SSU rRNA". It matches the Rfam family "Bacterial small subunit ribosomal RNA", at positions 338 to 795 of the family's 1533-position model. Lineage: Bacteria; Pseudomonadati; Pseudomonadota; Gammaproteobacteria; Enterobacterales; Enterobacteriaceae. The record is from RNAcentral.
CCUACGGGUGGCAGCAGUGGGGAAUAUUGCACAAUGGGCGCAAGCCUGAUGCAGCCAUGCCGCGUGUGUGAAGAAGGCCUUCGGGUUGUAAAGCACUUUCAGCGGGGAGGAAGGCGUUAAGGUUAAUAACCUUGUCGAUUGACGUUACCCGCAGAAGAAGCACCGGCUAACUCCGUGCCAGCAGCCGCGGUAAUACGGAGGGUGCAAGCGUUAAUCGGAAUUACUGGGCGUAAAGCGCACGCAGGCGGUCUGUCAAGUCGGAUGUGAAAUCCCCGGGCUCAACCUGGGAACUGCAUUCGAAACUGGCAGGCUAGAGUCUUGUAGAGGGGGGUAGAAUUCCAGGUGUAGCGGUGAAAUGCGUAGAGAUCUGGAGGAAUACCGGUGGCGAAGGCGGCCCCCUGGACAAAGACUGACGCUCAGGUGCGAAAGCGUGGGGAACAAACAGGAUUAGAUACCCGGGUAGUC